RNAcentral lists this long non-coding RNA (857 nucleotides) under Mytilus galloprovincialis (Mediterranean mussel). The record is from RNAcentral. Lineage: Eukaryota; Metazoa; Mollusca; Bivalvia; Mytilida; Mytilidae.
GCAGAGCUUACUUUAGGGAAAUAUAAAAUCACAUUAAGAAAUAUGUUUUUUUAGAUGUCUUAAAUUUAUUUUAACAAAAUACAUGUCAUCUGUUCACAGGUGUGUUUGAUGAUUACCUCAUAUAACAAAAUUUAAUCAAUUUCAAAACCUGUAUUUUGCUCCUAAAAAUGCAUAUAUAUACCGUAUAUAUAUAGAUUCUACCACUGCAUCGAGUGUUAUGCCAUAUUUAUCCACUCAAGACAGUUAAAUUUCAAACUUAAAACGCAAGGCUUGCAGAUCGUUUUAAAUAUUUAAAAUUUAACUGUCGAGAGUGGAUAAAUAUCGUAUUACACGAGAUUUGGUGGUGGAAUCUGUUUCUCUAAUAAUUUUCAAAUAAUAAGCAGGAAAAGUUUUUUCUUCUUUUCUAGUGAUCUACAAAAAGAUGGGUUCUUUCUACAUUACGUCAUCAGGCAUGGUCGCCUUUUUCAUGCCAUCACAAUAGGAAAUUCAGAGGAAAGCAAGAAAAGGAGUAGGGGCAAUAAGGCCCUUAUUUGGCCCAAAAAUUACAACAAAUUUAAAAGUCAUCGUACAUAUUCUUAAAUUACUGAAAACCGUACUACAGUACAAGGUACUCAGAAAAACAAAACAAAUUUGACAUUGAACAAGUUUCCAUGGCAACAGAAGAUGAUUUAUUUUUCAUAUUUUUUAAAAUCUCGUGAUUUUCCUUGUUUUUCAUCAAAUUUUAAGUAGAUUUAGAUUGAAAAAGUAUGUGCGCACCCAAAAAACAAUUUUAUAUUUGGUGAGACUAUGUCAAUAGUAAUAAUUAAGCUUCUGUUGAAAUAUUUUUAUGUUUCUUGACUGCACACAAUGUUUCCAAA